GACGAACGCUGGCGGCGUGCUUAACACAUGCAAGUCGAACGGAAAGGCCCUGCUUUUGUGGGGUGCUCGAGUGGCGAACGGGUGAGUAACACGUGAGUAACCUGCCCUUGACUUUGGGAUAACUUCAGGAAACUGGGGCUAAUACCGGAUAGGAGCUCCUGCUGCAUGGUGGGGGUUGGAAAGUUUCGGCGGUUGGGGAUGGACUCGCGGCUUAUCAGCUUGUUGGUGGGGUAGUGGCUUACCAAGGCUUUGACGGGUAGCCGGCCUGAGAGGGUGACCGGCCACAAUGGGACUGAGAUACGGCCCAGACUCCUACGGGAGGCAGCAGGGGGGAAUAUUGCACAAUGGGCGGGAGGCUGAUGCAGCAACGCCGCGUGCGGGAUGACGGCCUUCGGGUUGUAAACCGCUUUCGCCUGUGACGAAGCGUGAGUGACGGUAAUGGGUAAAGAAGCACCGGCUAACUACGUG
Molecule: ribosomal RNA, 468 nt
Filed under: uncultured bacterium
Lineage: Bacteria
Description: partial 16S ribosomal RNA
Rfam family: Bacterial small subunit ribosomal RNA
Source: RNAcentral